RNAcentral lists this ribosomal RNA (465 nucleotides) under Vreelandella stevensii. RNAcentral's name for it is "partial 16S ribosomal RNA". It matches the Rfam family "Bacterial small subunit ribosomal RNA", at positions 338 to 795 of the family's 1533-position model. The record is from RNAcentral. Lineage: Bacteria; Pseudomonadati; Pseudomonadota; Gammaproteobacteria; Oceanospirillales; Halomonadaceae.
CCUACGGGGGGCUGCAGUGGGGAAUAUUGGACAAUGGGGGGAACCCUGAUCCAGCCAUGCCGCGUGUGUGAAGAAGGCCCUCGGGUUGUAAAGCACUUUCAGUGAGGAAGAACGCCUGGUGGUUAAUACCCAUCAGGAAAGACAUCACUCACAGAAGAAGCACCGGCUAACUCCGUGCCAGCAGCCGCGGUAAUACGGAGGGUGCGAGCGUUAAUCGGAAUUACUGGGCGUAAAGCGCGCGUAGGUGGCUUGAUAAGCCGGUUGUGAAAGCCCCGGGCUCAACCUGGGAACGGCAUCCGGAACUGUCAAGCUAGAGUGCAGGAGAGGAAGGUAGAAGUCCCGGUGUAGCGGUGAAAUGCGUAGAGAUCGGGAGGAAUACCAGUGGCGAAGGCGGCCUUCUGGACUGACACUGACACUGAGGUGCGAAAGCGUGGGUAGCAAACAGGAUUAGAUACCCUAGUAGUC